RNAcentral lists this non-coding RNA (91 nucleotides) under Heterosigma akashiwo. The record is from RNAcentral. Lineage: Eukaryota; Raphidophyceae; Chattonellales; Chattonellaceae.
AAAGAAAAGAGAGAGAGAGAGAGAGAAGAAGAGAAGAAGUCGUUGUAGUAGCAGUGUAGUAGGUAUUUUUUUUUUUUUUCCUUUUUUUUUU